AGCGCUCAGCGGCGCGGGGCGUAUCGGGGCGCGCGGGAGGACGGCAUAAGCGAUAUUGGGUUUUAUUAAGUAUGAAUGCAGCGUCUGACAGCAAACACCGUAUUUCCCGCGCGCCGCUCGCUUGUCCCACAUUCACGAACAUUACAACAAAUGCAAAUAGUGACACAAUUAACAUAUUGAUUCAAGGUUAAAAUUGGACAGAACAAUAUCAGGUUAGGGAUUUAAAAGUUACAUACAAGCAAAGGAGGAUAGACGGUUACAGUAAAAAACGGGCGGUUAAAACAGUGGAAGUGUACGAGGAAGCCAAGGUCAAGGGAUGAGUUCCCCAAGCGCUGACCAGACCUAGCCUAUUGCUUUCGUGCCGCAAACAGACAGGUUACGAAGAGGAGGAGGCAGGUCAUUCCAGCACCUAGUGGCGCAGAACCUAAAGCUUCCUCGGAAACUCACCGUUCUAUGUAUUGGCAUUCUAAGUUUUAUCAAUGACGCUCUAGUGACAUGCUCACUAUCAUUAUUUCCUAACCACUGUAAUUUAUGAUAGAGGUAAGGUGGAACCUGGUAUUUUAUAGUGCCAAAAAGUAACGUAGCGAAAUGUAAUUGCAUACGAUAAUUCAUUUUUAAGAUGUUAGCAUUAUUUAAAUAUGGUGUGAUAUGUGUACGUGGCGGUAUUUUAAAGCAGUAGCGAGCGCAGGCGUUCUGGACUCGUUGGAUGAUUUUUUUUGUACGUUCAAGUAAACGGGGCCCUAUAACUACAUCUGCAUAAUUAAAUUUAGAAAGAACUAACGCCUCACAAAGUCUAAUGCGUACUUUGGUAGAAAUGGAGUCUCUAAUAUUAUAAAGAAUUUUUAACCUAUAAAAACAGUUUUUGGCAAUAUUAUUUACAUGCUUUUCAAAACGAAGUUCCUCGUCAAAUAGAACACCUAGGUUGCGCGCUUCAGUCACCCUUUGUAUACGUACACCUUUUAUAUCAAUAUUUGGAUCACAAUUACUAAUAAUUUGAAUUUGCCGCUCUGUACCAAGUAUCAUGUAUUUAGUUUUGUUAGGGUUCAUUUCUAGCGUGUUUGAAAUUGACCAACGGGCUAUACGAUCCAAAUCUUGGUUGAGUUGUUGCAAAGCUGCUUGUACCUUACAUGGCUUAAAAGAAAUAUACAACUGCAGAUCAUCAGCAUACAAGUGAUAGUUGCAGUGAUUAAUUUGUUUUACAAUAUCAGUUGUAUAAAUCGUAAAUAAAAUUGGUCCUAAAAUAGAGCCUUGUGGUACUCCUCUAGUUACAUGCCUUAUGUCAGAUUUAGCAACACUCCCAUCUUCUGACUUAAUCUCUACGUAUUGGCUGCGGCAACUCAUAUAACUCGCAAACCAUUGUACAGUUUUGUCGUCGAACCCAUAAUAUGACAGCUUUGAUAUCAACAAUGGAAUGUUUAUGGUGUCAAACGCACGAGAGUAGUCUAGGAGUACUAGUAUAGUACCCUCGCCCCUGUCUCGAGCAGAUAGGAUAUCAUCGACAACGUCUGCUAAAGCAGUCGUAGUCCCUCGAUUUUUCCUAAAUCCUGAUUGUUUAUCUGGCAAAAUUUUAUUUAACUCCAAAAAGUCUCUUAGUUGAUUGCAUACAACUUUUUCAAGAAUCUUGGACAAACAUGGUAGAAUGCUUAUUGGACGUAAAUCUUUAAAUUCUAAGGGCGUGUCGAUCUUAGGUAUAGGUCUUACAAUAGCUUUGCACCAAAGAUCUGGGAAUUUGGAUGUUAAUAUGGAGGAGUUGACGAUUGCAGUAAUAACCUUUAUUGUGUAUUGCAGGGUUGGUAAUAUCAUGUCCAGAGAGAUCCCAUCUGCCCCGAUUGCAUUAGAAGUUAAUGUUUUAAUAAUUUUAAAAAUUUCGGAUUCUGUAACUGUUUUCAAGUAAAAGCUUGCGUCACUAAAUUUAUUGCGUUGAAAAUAUUCAAUAACUAAUCGAUCCGCAUUUAGACUACCGGGAAUUGCAAGGAAAAAAUUAUUAACUUCAUUUGGGUCACGUAACUGUUCUGGUAGAAUCAGAUCACCUUUUCUAUUGAUGUUAACAUUAUAUUUAAUGUGUUUCCAAAGAAUUUUUGCAUUUUUUAAAUUUUGAUUAAUAAAAGUUUCGAAAUAAGCCUUUUUUUCAUUUUUAAUUGAAACACGAACUAUAUUUUUCAAAUCUUUAUAAUAAUUAAUGUGCGCGUCUAUUUUACUUUUACGUGCUCUUAUAUGCGCAAUAUCCCGUAGUCUCAUCAUAAACUUAAUAAUAGAUGUGAUCCAGGGAUAAUGACGGAACUUAGAGUGCAAGGAUUUUAGAGGUGCAAGUGUGUCAUAAAUGCGUCGAAUCUCUGUAUUAAAUUGCCCUACCAUAUCAUCUACGCAUUGAAGUCCGGCAAUGCAGUCCCAGUUCACAAGUGCCAGACAUUUGUCUAAUUCACUUGGAUCUAUAGAUGUAAUGUCCCUGUAAAAAAAUUUUUUUGGUGUAAAUUUAUCUCUAGUUAUAGUGACGUCACAAGAUAUAAAUGAGUGACUGCUUAAAGUGCAUACAUAAUCAACCCAGACCUGACAAAUAUCUGCAUCGGUACAAAACAAAUCUAAGAGAGUUUCACUGCGAUUUGUGAAAUGCGUUGGCUCAUUAAUGUGUUGCGUCAAAUUUAAACUAUUUAAGAAGUCAGUGAGUAAUUUACUGUUUUUGUUAUUUUUAUCAAAAUAAUUAAUAUUAAAAUCUCCAAUGAUGAUGAGCUGAUCCCGCCACGUAAACAAGGAUAAAGUCUCGUACAAAGCAUCAAAAAAUGUUUGUACACUUAACCAUGGUGGCCUAUAUGCCGUUCCUAUUACUAAGUUUUUACCUCGACUUUUAUAGCAUAUCCACAUCUGCUCAACGCAAGGGGAGGGAGGGUGACUGAGGGUGCGAACAUUCAGGCCUUUUCUGACAUAAAAUCCUACGCCGCCACCGCGUGCGCGUAUGUUUUGUGGGCGAGGUAUAUGCUGUAAUUUGUAACCCGGUAUAAUAGGAGCACGGCCAUCUUCUCCAGCCUUCAGCCAAGUCUCAUUUAGGCCCAGAACGUCCACAUUAUGCCUUUCUACUGCGACUAUGAAUUCCUCAUGAUUAGUUCCUAGAGAACACGGAUUCAGGAAACCAACUUUUAAAUUGCGCGGUCUAAUCAUUUAUAAAUAAAAUUGCUAACUAAUGUUACCUGUUGAAAUAGUAAAAAUAAAUUAAUGAUUUUAAAAUAUUCAAUUAAUAAUACCAAGUAACACACAAUGUAAACAAUACCUCCUUGUAUUUUAUAGUUAUAUGGGCUCAGUAUGUAUAAUGUCUGGUUGUUGUAUAUUACACUGCUGCGAGAACUUAUUUUUAAGACCUUAAGUGAAAAAAUAAUCCAACUAACAUUAAUAGAAUAUAAUUUUAAAAAACAAACUAUAAAAUAAAUCUUCCUACCUAUUAAUUUCAUUAAAUAUGCUAUAUAUAUUUUUACAAUCAUCGAGAUUAAAUCAGAGCUCAAACCCGUGUUGAUACAAAAACCUUAGAAAUAUCAUUUUGUGUUUUUAUCCUUUGAGCCGCAGUAUCUUUACUCCGCCGCGCAUAUAUUCGCCCCUCGCGGGUCCAAAUAUAACGCCACCCAUUGCGACGGCCUUCCUCUCGUGCAUGAUAGAACAAGACACGGUUUGUUUUUGUCAGACGCUCAUUUAUAUAAAACCGCUUGGGUUCCUUGUCUAUUUCAAGGCCCGUUGUAUCAGCCCCGCGUCGCACGCGCGCCGCUCGCAGUAGUUGAUCGCGAAUCGAGCGGCGCGCUAGUCGCACUACGAUAGGGCGCGGGCGAGAUCGUUCACCGGUUUCAUUAUAAGCCGGCCGCGGUCCUGAUCGUUCAACGUAAACAACGUCGCGCUCGUCCAAGGUGACUCCGAUUUUACUUGCAAUAAGGCCUGUGACAUGAUGCAGAUUUUCCUCAUUCCGUUCUGUGAUACCUGUAAUCUCGAUGUCGUUUAAUAGACACGACUGUUCGCGCUCAUUAAGAUCCGACUUCAACUUGGCAAAAUCUUCCAGUAAAUGGCUCUCUGAAAUGGUGCACGGUGCUUUAUUCUCAAGUUGAGUCAAUCGUGCUUCUACGCUGUCGACCCUUUUACCUACUUCGCUUAACGUACCUUUUAAUAACGCGAGCUCCUGCCUAAACGAAGACACCUCAUGCGUCACUGCGGCCAAUUCAACCCGAAGGAGCUUCAUUUGGUCUAAAAGUGAGCUCACGAUAAGUGGAUCUUCAAUUCCUGACAGAGAUGGGGGAAGUUCGGUGUGUGAUACAAGUUCCCCUUGCGUGGAAGCUGUGUCGGUGACUAAAGCAGGAGAACACGGCUUCGGCUUACAGCCCUUACAAAUCCACUUUGGUACCCUUGCAUCUGGGCUGGAGUUCAUUACACAAGCUCGGUGGAAUAAACAGGAGCACCGUACACAUUUCACACUAUCGGCCGCAGCUAAAAACUUUCCGCAGCUACUGCAUUUAUUUGCCAUUUUCGUUAUGGUUAUGCACGUGUAAAUAACCAAAUACUACGAAUAGUUGUAUUUUAUAUCGUGUUUAUACGUAUAUAUUAAAUUGUUAUGCAGUAUGUAUAAAUCAGAGAUGUAAUCUAUUUUGGAAUAUAAGGUAAUUGUUUU
Molecule: long non-coding RNA, 4636 nt
Organism: Vanessa atalanta (red admiral)
Lineage: Eukaryota; Metazoa; Arthropoda; Insecta; Lepidoptera; Nymphalidae
Exons: 3
Source: RefSeq, a predicted model, not a curated record